Molecule: long non-coding RNA, 227 nt
Filed under: Lathyrus oleraceus (garden pea)
Lineage: Eukaryota; Viridiplantae; Streptophyta; Magnoliopsida; Fabales; Fabaceae
Description: Pisum sativum (pea) long non-coding RNA (PSAT_LNC032093)
Source: RNAcentral
AAAAAUGUAAAUCUUGAAUACUUUUUCAGUUUAUUUAUCAAACUAAUCAUGUUUCCGUUGAACGAUAAAAGGAUGCGCCAACCCUUAUGACACAUAUUUUGAUUAAUUACACAUAGACACGAUUCAUUAUGACGCAUGUAUACAAAUGUAGGAGUAUGCGCCACUACAUGUGGCUACUCCUUUAUUUUCUUUACAUGCAUGCACUACUGCAUGUAACUACUCCUUUA